UACGAGGGGGGCGAGCGUUGUUCGGAAUUAUUGGGCGUAAAGGGCGCGUAGGCGGUUGGGUAAGUCUUGUGUGAAAUCUUCGGGCUCAACUCGAAGUCUGCACGAGAAACUAUCUGGCUUGAGUGUGGGAGAGGUGAGUGGAAUUCCUGGUGUAGCGGUGAAAUGCGUAGAUAUCAGGAGGAACACCUGUGGCGAAGGCGGCUCACUGGACCACAACUGACGCUGAGGCGCGAAAGCUAGGGGAGCAAACAGG
Molecule: ribosomal RNA, 253 nt
Filed under: uncultured bacterium
Lineage: Bacteria
Description: partial 16S ribosomal RNA
Rfam family: Bacterial small subunit ribosomal RNA
Source: RNAcentral